UCCGUUUGAUCCUGGCAGAGGCCACUGCUAUCGGAGUUCGAUUAAGCCAUGCGAGUCGAGAGGUGUAAGACCUCGGCAUACUGCUCAGUAACACGUGGAUAACCUACCCUCAGGAGGGGGAUAACCCCGGGAAACUGGGGAUAAUACCCCAUAGACUAUGGAAGCUGGAAUGCUCUGUAGCCGAAAGGUCAGCCGCCUGAGGAUGGGUCUGCGGCCGAUUAGGUUGUUGUUGGGGUAACGGCCCAACAAGCCUGUAAUCGGUACGGGUUGUGGGAGCAAGAGCCCGGAGAUGGAUUCUGAGACACGAAUCCAGGCCCUACGGGGCGCAGCAGGCGCGAAAACUUUACAAUGCGGGAAACCGUGAUAAGGGAACUCCGAGUGCCCGUAAAUUCGGGCUGUCAAUCUGUUUAAAUAACAGGUUAAGAAAGGGCCGGGCAAGACCGGUGCCAGCCGCCGCGGUAAUACCGGCGGCUCGAGUGGUGGCCACUAUUACUGGGCUUAAAGCGUCCGUAGCUGGUCUGUUAAGUCUCUGGGGAAAUCUACCGGCUUAACCGGUAGGCGUCUCAGGGAUACUGGCAGACUAGGGACCGGGAGAGGUGAGAGGUACUCCAGGGGUAGGAGUGAAAUCCUGUAAUCCUUGGGGGACCACCUGUGGCGAAGGCGUCUCACCAGAACGGCUCCGACAGUGAGGGACGAAAGCUGGGGGAGCAAACCGGAUUAGAUACCCGGGUAGUCCCAGCUGUAAACGAUGCGCGUUAGGUGUAUCGGUGACCACGAGUCACCGAGGUGCCGAAGGGAAACCGUGAAACGUGCCGCCUGGGAAGUACGGUCGCAAGGCUGAAACUUAAAGGAAUUGGCGGGGGAGCACCACAACGGGUGGAGCCUGCGGUUUAAUCGGACUCAACGCCGGGAAUCUCACCGGAUAAGACAGCUGAAUGAUUGCCGGGCUGAAGACUCUGCAUGACUAGCUGAGAGGAGGUGCAUGGCCGUCGUCAGUUCGUACUGUGAAGCAUCCUGUUAAGUCAGGCAACGAGCGAGACCCA
Molecule: ribosomal RNA, 1043 nt
Filed under: uncultured archaeon
Lineage: Archaea
Description: bacterial SSU rRNA
Rfam family: Archaeal small subunit ribosomal RNA
Source: RNAcentral